GAUGAACGCUGGCGGUAUGCUUAACACAUGCAAGUCGAACGGACUCUUCGGAGUUAGUGGCGGACGUGUGAGUAACGCGUGAGAAUCUGGCUUUGGGUUCGGGACAACCACUGGAAACGGUGGCUAAUACCGGAUGUGCCGAGAGGUAAAAGAGAAAUUGCCUGGAGAUGAGCUCGCGUCUGAUUAGCUAGUUGGUGAGGUAAAGGCUCACCAAGGCAGCGAUCAGUAGCUGGUCUGAGGGGAUGACCAGCCACACUGGGACUGAGACACGGCCCAGACUCCUAGGGGAGGCAGCAGUGGGAAAUUGUACGAAAGGGGCGAAAGCCUGACGGAGAAAUACCGCGUGAGGGAAGAAGGCUCUUGGGUUGUAAACCUCUUGUCUGAGGGAAGAACAAAAUGACGGUACCGAAGGAAGCAGCAUCGGCUAACUCCGUG
RNAcentral lists this ribosomal RNA (435 nucleotides) under uncultured bacterium. RNAcentral's name for it is "partial 16S ribosomal RNA". It matches the Rfam family "Bacterial small subunit ribosomal RNA", at positions 28 to 507 of the family's 1533-position model. The record is from RNAcentral.